Molecule: unclassified non-coding RNA, 259 nt
Filed under: Hevea brasiliensis (rubber tree)
Lineage: Eukaryota; Viridiplantae; Streptophyta; Magnoliopsida; Malpighiales; Euphorbiaceae
Source: RNAcentral
GUUAACGCCUAGGAUUUUUGUUAAAAGAAAACUAGGGAAAGCAAGCUUUUGGUGAGCUUGGCUAUGGAAGAGUGAGGGAGAGCUUUGGGACGUUUUUUGAAGAAGGGAGAGGCUGCUGGUUUGUUCUAGAUUUCUGCCCUUUUUUUUCUAUUUUUAAUGUAUUAUAAUUGUCUUGCUUUAAUUUGAUUGGCCAUAGCAUUUUUAAUUACCUCAUGCUUACAUAAGCAUGAAGUAAUAAAUCCCAUAAUUUUCAUUUUGU